AUUGAACGCUGGCGGCAGGCCUAACACAUGCAAGUCGAGCGGAUGACGGGAGCUUGCUCCUUGAUUCAGCGGCGGACGGGUGAGUAAUGCCUAGGAAUCUGCCUGGUAGUGGGGGACAACGUUUCGAAAGGAACGCUAAUACCGCAUACGUCCUACGGGAGAAAGCAGGGGACCUUCGGGCCUUGCGCUAUCAGAUGAGCCUAGGUCGGAUUAGCUAGUUGGUGGGGUAAUGGCUCACCAAGGCGACGAUCCGUAACUGGUCUGAGAGGAUGAUCAGUCACACUGGAACUGAGACACGGUCCAGACUCCUACGGGAGGCAGCAGUGGGGAAUAUUGGACAAUGGGCGAAAGCCUGAUCCAGCCAUGCCGCGUGUGUGAAGAAGGUCUUCGGAUUGUAAAGCACUUUAAGUUGGGAGGAAGGGCAGUAAGUUAAUACCUUGCUGUUUUGACGUUACUGACAGAAUAAGCACCGGCUAACUCUGUGCCAGCAGCCGCCGUAA
RNAcentral lists this ribosomal RNA (500 nucleotides) under uncultured bacterium. Its description in RNAcentral is "partial 16S ribosomal RNA". It matches the Rfam family "Bacterial small subunit ribosomal RNA", at positions 30 to 523 of the family's 1533-position model. The record is from RNAcentral.